RNAcentral lists this ribosomal RNA (460 nucleotides) under uncultured bacterium. RNAcentral's name for it is "partial 16S ribosomal RNA". It matches the Rfam family "Bacterial small subunit ribosomal RNA", at positions 28 to 523 of the family's 1533-position model. The record is from RNAcentral.
GAUGAACGCUGGCGGCGUGCCUAAUACAUGCAAGUCGAGCGGUAAGGCCACUUCGGUGGUACACGAGCGGCGGACGGCUGAGUAACACGUAGGAACGUACCCCAAACUGAGGGAUAACUGCUCGAAAGAGUAGCUAAUACCGCAUGUGCUCUAAGGAGUAAAGCUUUAUGCGCUUUAGGAAUGGCCUGCGUAAGAUUAGCUUGUUGGUGAGGUAAUGGCUCACCAAGGCGACGAUCUUUAGCUGGUCUGAGAGGAUGAUCAGCCAGACUGGGACUGAGACACGGCCCAGACUCCUACGGGAGGCAGCAGUAGGGAAUCUUCCACAAUGGGCGAAAGCCUGAUGGAGCAACGCCGCGUGCAGGAUGAAGGCCUUCGGGUUGUAAACUGCUUUUAUAUGUGAAGAUUAUGACGGUAGCAUAUGAAUAAGGAUCGGCUAACUCCGUGCCAGCCGCCGCAGUAA